Molecule: long non-coding RNA, 1916 nt
Filed under: Pan troglodytes (chimpanzee)
Lineage: Eukaryota; Metazoa; Chordata; Mammalia; Primates; Hominidae
Description: long non-coding RNA NONPTRT016455
Source: RNAcentral
GGGGGCCCCCAUCUUAGUCUCUCCGCCGCCAUCUCCUUCUGCACUGCCGCCAUCUUACUACCUGCUUCCUCACCACCGCCAUCUUACUUCCUUUUUUCUCUGCCGCCAUUUUAGUUCUUCUGCCGCCAUUCGGCCGCCAUUUUAAUUCCCGUUAGUUCCCAUUUGUUCUUUUAACCCUGCCCAGCUAACUCCUUGGCUUCCAUCUUACCCCCAUUCUUAUUUCCACCUCCCCAUAGUGUCAUACCAGUCCACUACAUCUACAAACUCCUAACACAUUCGCUGCGGGCAGUGAUAUCUGCUAAUCCUGGAUGAGGCAGCGGAGGGCCCCCAAACCCCUAUCCAGGACUUAGUAAAGCUGGCGUUCAAAGUUUUUAAUUCCUGAGAGGAGGCGGCUGAGGUACAACGACAGGCAAGCCUGAAACAAAAAGUUCAGCUCCAAACCCAAGCCCUGGCAGCUGCCCUGCAACCGGCAUUCCCUAAGAGCCCCGGCAGGAGAGGUAGAGGUACAAUCUCCCGGGCCCCGUCUGGUGCCUGCUUCAAGUGCAGCAACUCAGGACACUGGGCCAGCCGGUGCCCCAGCCAACAGCAACCGUCCUACUCGCCUUGCAACUGUUUCAAGUGCAGCAAUCCAGGUCAUUGGGCAAAACAGUGCCCAAACCCCAAGCCGCCAACACGCCCGUGCCCUAACUGCCAACAAAUGGGGCACUGGAGGUCAGACUGCCCCAGCCUCGGAGUGGCCGCUGUGUCUCCACAUGGCGACCCCUCCCCGGAUGGCGAAGGUGCCCUCUAGCUCCUCCAACUGGAUGACGACUGAAGAGGCCCAGACUCAGGAACCCCUCUCACCCUUGCCGAGCCCAGGGUAAUGCUUCAGGUAGUGGGAAAAUGGGAUGUCAUCGAAGCCCUUUAAGAAAAGGAGGGAUGUGAUCAGAUUUGUAAUUUUCAAAGAUUUCCUGAGGUGCUGUGAAUUUUACAGAUCAACUGAGACGCAAAACCCAUGUUCACAUCAUGGGUGAGUCUUCUAACUCGGACAACGCAAUCAACAAAUUCUAAGACCAAAUUCCGGCGGCACUGGCUCCAAAGCUCCUGAGUGUGGAAGGAGGGGAACAGGGAAAAGCAGAGAGGACAAAAGUCACAUCCCCUCCCCACAGACCCAUACUGGGGAAGGGUGGAAGAUUUAGCUGCGAGUCAAGUUCAGAAUUUUGAUUAACAUCUUGGCAUGCACAUUCGAAUUUCAGAAUCAAGACUGUUGGCCAUAAAAAAUGACUAUAGCCUUGUAUAUUACCUGAACUGAGCAGUAAAAAAAAAGUCAUGGUCCUUCUGGGGCUUUUAUUCUGAGACAGGAACCCUGAACAGGCAGGAGAAAGGGAAUGUUGAGAGAGAAACAAAGACAGCUGGCGACACACGCUGACCGCCAUGCGGACGUCCAUCAAACCCAGCACUGGCCCUGGGUACAUGCGCCUUUGCUAUUACCCCAAUACAUUUUCUUCUGCAGAGCAAGCAACAGAACACAUGCAGACCUUAAUAAAUACCACUGGGUAAUGUGACAAUGGCCAAACUCUCCUCACGGGGGAGAGAGUGUCCCCCAGUUUUGCUCCCUUUUAAUUUCCAGGGUUCAUAAGUAGCUCUAAAGCUUUGCUCUACGAGGUUGAUACAUACGAUAUUAAUGUUUCCCCUAAGCAGUAUAACAUAAAUAUAUUUGCUAUCUUGACAUUCUGGGUUUGGUUUUUCAGUGUUGGCGUAAGUGGGUUUUAUACUUUCUGGAGCAAGAGUUCAUCACCAAAGGGAAAAUGCUGUCCACCCCACCCUCUUUGAAAGAAAAGGCUCAGCCCAUAGUUCUCCAGAUGAAAGAAAUGUUCCUAAUCAGCUAUUUCUUGUUGCUUGAUUGGAUGUUAACAAUGGAGGUAGACACACAGCUA